CAGCACCUCAAGUGGUCAGGAUGAUUAUUGGGCCUAAAGCAUCCGUAGCCGGCUCUGUAAGUUUUCGGUUAAAUCUGUAUGCUCAACAUACAGGCUGCCGGGAAUACUGCAGAGCUAGGGAGUGGGAGAGGUAGACGGUACUCGGUAGGAAGGGGUAAAAUCCUUUGAUCUAUUGAUGACCACCUGUGGCGAAGGCGGUCUACCAGAACACGUCCGACGGUGAGGGAUGAAAGCUGGGGGAGCAAACCGGAUUAGAGACCCGAGUAGUCC
This 270-nucleotide ribosomal RNA is filed under the name uncultured archaeon. RNAcentral's name for it is "partial 16S ribosomal RNA". It matches the Rfam family "Archaeal small subunit ribosomal RNA", at positions 477 to 747 of the family's 1478-position model. The record is from RNAcentral.